This 440-nucleotide ribosomal RNA is filed under the name uncultured bacterium. RNAcentral describes it as "partial 16S ribosomal RNA". It matches the Rfam family "Bacterial small subunit ribosomal RNA", at positions 338 to 795 of the family's 1533-position model. The record is from RNAcentral.
CCUACGGGGGACAGCAGUGGGGAAUAAUUCACAAUGGAGGAAACUCUGAUGCUGCGACGCCGCGUGAGUGAAUAAGUAAUUUGUGAUGUAAAGCCCUAUCAGCAGGGAAGCAAGUGACAAUGCCUGAAACACAAGCUCCGGCUAAAUCCGUCCCAGCAGCCGCGGUAAUACGUAUGGAGCAAGCGCUAGCCGGAUUUACUGGGUGUAGAGCGAAAGUAGGCGGUAGCGCAAGUACGAAGUGAAAACCCAAAGCUCAACCCGGGGAAUGCUUUAGAACCUGCGCAGCCAGAGUGAAGGAGAGGCAAGCGGAAUUCUGAGUGGAGCAGUGAAAUGCGUAGAUAUUAGGAGGAACACCAGUGGCGAAGGCGGCUUGCUGGACUUUAACUGACACUGAGGCUCGAAAGCGUGGGGAGCAAACGGGAUUAGAUACCCGUGUAGUC